RNAcentral lists this unclassified non-coding RNA (254 nucleotides) under [Chrysosporium] pseudomerdarium. RNAcentral's name for it is "Chrysosporium pseudomerdarium partial internal transcribed spacer region". The stretch from base 1 to 46 matches the Rfam family "Eukaryotic small subunit ribosomal RNA", at positions 1786 to 1831 of the family's 1831-position model. The record is from RNAcentral. Lineage: Eukaryota; Fungi; Ascomycota; Leotiomycetes; Thelebolales; Pseudeurotiaceae.
AAGUCGUAACAAGGUUUCCGUAGGUGAACCUGCGGAAGGAUCAUUAAAUGAAGCAACCUAGGAGCCUGAGAUAUGACCACCGGGCACACCUUCCACCCUUUGUUUAUCACACUUUGUUGCUUUGGCAGGCCUGCCUCCGGGCUGCUGGCUCCGGCCGGCGAGCGCUUGCCAGAGGACCCAAACUCUGUUUGUCUGUAACGUCUGAGUAAAAAGUUUAAUAUUUAAAACUUUCAACAACGGAUCUCUUGGCUCUG